CUACGGGGGGCACCAGUCGAGAAUAUUCCACAAUGGGCGAAAGCCUGAUGGAGCGACGCCGCGUGCGGGAAGAAGGCCUUCGGGUCGUAAACCGCUUUUAACUGGGAAGAAGUUCGCAAGAAUUGACGGUACCAGUUGAAUAAGGGGGUCCUAAUUCUGUGCCAGCAGGAGCGGUAAUACAGAACCCCCGAGCGUUAUCCGGAUUUAUUGGGCGUAAAGUGCGGGCAGGAGGUUUAUUAAGUCCGAUGUUAAAUCCCAGAGCCUAACUUUGGAACCGCAUUGGAUACUAUUAAACUAGAGGACGCGAUAGGCAGAUGGAACAGCCGGUGUAGGGGUGAAAUCCGUUGAUAUCGGCUGGAACACCAAAGGCGAAGGCAGUCUGCUGGGGCGUUCCUGACUCUGAGCCGCGAAAGCGUGGGGAGCAAAAAGGAUUAGAUACCCGCGUAGUC
RNAcentral lists this ribosomal RNA (449 nucleotides) under uncultured bacterium. RNAcentral's name for it is "partial 16S ribosomal RNA". It matches the Rfam family "Bacterial small subunit ribosomal RNA", at positions 339 to 795 of the family's 1533-position model. The record is from RNAcentral.